This 253-nucleotide ribosomal RNA is filed under the name uncultured bacterium. RNAcentral describes it as "partial 16S ribosomal RNA". It matches the Rfam family "Bacterial small subunit ribosomal RNA", at positions 524 to 776 of the family's 1533-position model. The record is from RNAcentral.
UACAGAGGUCUCAAGCGUUGUUCGGAUUCAUUGGGCGUAAAGGGUGCGUAGGUGGCGAUGUAAGUCUGGUGUGAAAUCUCGGGGCUCAACCUCGAAAUUGCAUUGGAUACUGCGUUGCUUGAGGAUUGUAGAGGAGAGUGGAAUUCACGGUGUAGCAGUGAAAUGCGUAGAUAUCGUGAGGAAUACCAGUUGCGAAGGCGACUCUCUGGGCAACUCCUGACACUGAGGCACGAAGGCCAGGGGAGCAAACGGG